AAUUUAAAGAACUGAAUGAAUGUUUCUUCUUAAACGAUGUGAUGUCCUAUCUUUGAAAAGAAACAUAAAUGAUCCCUGGGUUCAUUUGGGUUCAAGCAUGAUGAUUAGCCACACCUGUUGUGAAUUGCUCCCUUCCCUGAACUUAAUGACUGCUGUUCUGCCAUUUGCUAGGACAAAAAGUGGGUGGAGUCUCGCACUUAUUUGGGCCGGGCUGUUAGAAUCAGUGCAGAAAUGGAGUUUGAGGAUAAGCCCCACUGCUUCAGCACGUCGUCUGUCCUCAGAGGACAAGGAUGUGCAGACUCCCAAUGAAAGAAUGACUGCACUGGAAAACCAGGUGGCGGCUCCACUUCCUGGUUUGCUGACUUGGAGACCUGGCACUAAUCUUCACUAUWUGGCUGGGACUAAACUCUCUUUGCUGGUAUCGUCCGGUUAUUUACCCCAGCUCAUGCAGGGUAUGAAAUAACUGGUUACAAACUGCCUUUUUUUUAAACUUUAAUUUAUGAACUAAUCCCUGGUGACUGGUUGUUUUAGAGAAGCUCUCAUUGCUGUUCAAUCGUCUUUUGUCACUUAUGCCUCUUAAA
Molecule: long non-coding RNA, 581 nt
Organism: Austrofundulus limnaeus
Lineage: Eukaryota; Metazoa; Chordata; Actinopteri; Cyprinodontiformes; Rivulidae
Exons: 2
Source: RefSeq, a predicted model, not a curated record